RNAcentral lists this non-coding RNA (24 nucleotides) under Arabidopsis thaliana (thale cress). The record is from RNAcentral. Lineage: Eukaryota; Viridiplantae; Streptophyta; Magnoliopsida; Brassicales; Brassicaceae.
ACACUGCUUUAUUACUAUCUUGGC